UCUCAGGUAAUUGGCUCACAUUUUCAAGGGGUGGCUUUUUCUCCUGGUGCUGUGUCUAGAACAUCAACCUGAACCUUUCCCCUAAUACGCAGCCACUUUAAAGCAGGAAAACACAUCAGUGACCAGGAUCUACAAUUGUGUUUCCAGGAAAUCUCAGGAGCUGAAGUGAUGCACUACCUAGAGUCCAUUGAAAAUUGGACUUCACGGUCAACUUGCUCCUUGCUAACAACUGAACAAACAAUUGAGGCAUUUGGCAGGCCAUGAGUGAGAGCCAGAGGUCAUUUUGAGAGGCUACGUUCAGCCCUUCAAUAAAUUUUAGGUAAGCCAUGUCAAGAAAGCGGUGAGGCUACAUCAUCACACUUCUGUUUGAUAUGCUGUGGUUCCACUUUUAUGCAACAAUCAUGCCCUAAGUAAAGAGCCAACCUACAUGGUCAAAAAGAAAGGGAAUGCCUUAAGUAACACAACGUAUAACUAACUCCUCGCUUCCUGGAUGGAAUUUAAAAUAGAGACUCCUGCUUUUUAACAGCAAACCACGGAGUGAUCAACAGUUGGGGUUGACCAACUGAGACACAUUGUCCCAUCUGAAGGCAUCCGGGACCAGGGAUCCCUCAGUCAACUGUCAGCCAGCCUCUAGGAGGAGAGCCAACAGGUUGACAUGUACUGGCCAGAGCCCUGUGGCAACCCCGACCAGACCAACAGAACCAGGCAGCAGCACUCACCCUGACUCAAAGUAUGGCAAGCUAAAUAGUCACGGUCACUGCCGUAUCACCAGCAGAUGGGGAAGAAACAGCACAGGCUGGUACCUGGGUCAUGUAAUACUGAGUGCAAAUAAAAAGGUUCCCAGUAUUGUUCUCAAUGGUCGACCUUCUGUAACGUCAUAAACAGAAAAGACUUCAGCAGGUUCACAGAUAAGAUAAAGAUAUACGAAUGAACAAUGGAGGCUGAACAAUGUGAUGAAAUGGGCUAAAAGUGGGUAAUUCACAACUGCCUGCAUAAAAAUUGCCAAUAACACUGAAAAUGUGCUCAACAGUAGAUUGAAACCGUAUCUACCGAAUGAUCUCAAUGAUGAAGACGGACAAUUCCAACUAUUGGUGAAGACGGGACAAGUGGAAUUUUCACACGUUGCUGAGAGUACACCAUUGGGCAACCUCUUUGGAAAACUUGCUGAAUCCUUAUAUACAAGGUCCUUCUGAAAUCCUGAGUUCAAAACACAUCACUCUGUAUGAUCAACCAAUGCAUUAUAGUACAGGGACUUUGCGUGGAUAUUUUUUAGCAUUUGUCCCUCACACCAGAAUUCUGUUUUACCAGAAAUUAUCACCAAGAUUAUGGACUUUACACUGGAAACACUGGAAAUGCCUUUUAUCUAAAGAGCCAUUGACAAUCUUUUUUUUUUUUUUCUCCAGUGGUUAGAUAGUAAAUAUUGCUGGCUUUACAUGCCCACUACUGAACUUUGCCAUCAUGGUGAGAAGGCGGUCAUAGAUAAUGUGCAAACAAAUGCAUAUCCUUGUUUUCCAAGAAUAGUCUAUUCAUAAAAACAGGUGGUAGGCUGCAUUUGGCCCAUGAGCCUUAGAUGGGAGAAGAUAAAGAAGAUGAAAAAAACUACAAUGCUGAGAGCGGUGUGUUUUUAUAAGGACCAGAGGUGGGAUGGAGAUUGCUUUGUUGAUUAAAGGCCGUUGGAGCUGGACCCUGCUGACUAGCAAAAGGAGCAGACCACGUUUCCAAAGGGGGCUUUUGGACCCUGGGCAAGGUGCAAGUCAUCUAUCCGGACUAUCUUUAAUUUCUGAAAAAGUCUUUUCAAUCCUGACACAAUUGCAUUCCGAAAUCAUCAGGUGUGAAGACCUGAUUGGAAGUCCAUUUGAACAACUGCCGGUGAUGAGCGACCUGCACUAAAUUUUCACAAUGCGUUGUAAAGACCGGAUUGUAUUCUCAGGGUAUUAGCAAGUGCUGAAGACAAGAAGGAGGCAAAAAGCAGUGCAUUGUCCAAGACCAGGUCCCCCCCCACCCCCCCGCACCGUUGUCACGCUACUGCAUUCUCAGUUUGCCAAAAGCUGUCGCAAAGUUCCUAUAACGUUGCAGGAGGAAAUACUAUGUGAUCUUUUUAAACAAGAAUGAUCUAUCUUUGGUAAAAUUUUAUUUCUUAAAAGGUGGUAGUUUGUGAGCUUAGGUGUGAAAGAAAAAAAAGAAAGCAUUUAUCAGUAUCAACAUUAUAUCUUUAAUAGACUCCAGUUGGGAACAUAUUUUUUGCUUUAUGUUUUGUUCAAAUAUCUAUCACUAAAAAUGCACUCUUUUUGAUACAAA
Molecule: long non-coding RNA, 2298 nt
Organism: Canis lupus familiaris (dog)
Lineage: Eukaryota; Metazoa; Chordata; Mammalia; Carnivora; Canidae
Exons: 6
Source: RefSeq, a predicted model, not a curated record